CUCCGAUCGCAGCACUUGGCCCUUCUCCGCCCGGGGGAGCCAGCACGCGCGCCUCCCCCCCACCCGCGCCAAUCUUUUCUCUUCUCCCCUCGGGACUGAGCCCUGCCUCCCGGGAGGGACCCCUCCAGCCAGCCACUGAGCCCGGGCACCUACACCAGCCUCUAGCUCCGGGUACCUGGGAGGAAACAUCUGGCGCAUCAUGGAAGGUUCUGAUGCCUUCAGUGAUCUACAAAAACAAAAGAAUUCCGUAUGCUUUGCAGACUAAACAAUCGCCCGUUUAAUCACUUUUAUCACAACCAAGGAUGCGUGGGUUAACCUGUCAAGUCCUACAAGAUUGGGCUGAUCAAACCUCAUGAAGACAAAGACUGGAACUAACACGAAGAACGUUUCUGUUGUUCUACCACUGUUUACAUUAGAGGGUUGCAUACAGUAUUGUGCUUCUGCCUUUGGCCACACGCUCUAUAGAAGGCAGAGCUGCAGACAUCCAUGUGAAUUGCAGUUUUGUAUCGGGGUUACAAAUUAUCCUCUUUAUUUGUUUGCUAUUUCCCCCCCUGCAUUAAAUGCAGGCUAUGGAAAAGGAGUUUAUUGUCUGGAAUAAAGAAAUGACAGAAACAUCA
Alligator mississippiensis (American alligator) is the source of this 617-nucleotide long non-coding RNA. RefSeq lists it as uncharacterized. The record is from RefSeq and is a predicted model, not a curated record. NCBI's taxonomy places the organism in Eukaryota, Metazoa, Chordata, Crocodylia, Alligatoridae. The transcript has 2 exons.